RNAcentral lists this long non-coding RNA (10618 nucleotides) under Equus asinus (donkey). Its description in RNAcentral is "lncRNA (ENSEASG00005023872.1)". Lineage: Eukaryota; Metazoa; Chordata; Mammalia; Perissodactyla; Equidae. The record is from RNAcentral.
GCACCAAAAGACUAUGAGACCUCGUUAUAAGUCAGUCAGAUUUGGUAAGUACAGAUAUUUUAAGCAUGCCUUAUAGGUCAAGCACCUCCUUUAUGUGAGGUAGGUGAGAAGACAGAGACCCACUAAGCACCCAGUCCCUGUUCCCCACCAACAGAAUAAACUUGGCCUUGAAAAGAAGGGCGGCCUGCAUGCUCUCGAUCCUCUCUCAGCCGCCUGUAGCCGGCGUGCAGCCAGCUCUGUGCAGCUCCCAUCUCAACCCGCCCUGCGCCCUGCUCCGUGGCUCCCCACCAAACAUGGGCAGGGAGAAUAUCUCACACCAACUCAUUUCAUCCUCCCCUUAUUUUAUUAAAACAGAAGAGAAAACUUCCAAGUUCAGAGUCCACUCUUUUCUCCCCCUUCCUUCCAGCAAACAGGAGACAUCUGGGGUGGGCAGUGAACAGUGGUGGGGUUUCAGGCUAGGAGAAGCUGCUGGUGGAAGGGAGUCAGGUGGAGCCCCGGCCGAGCUUCCCAGGCCCGCAGACGUCUACGUUUCCCAGGAAGUUGUGAGAACAGAGGAUUUCCCCAGGAAUCCGGGCUGGGCUUGUAAAGAAACAAUCCCAACAUCAAGAAAAGAAACCGGCCAGUAAAUUCCUAGUUAGUUCAUUUUCUAAGACUUCUGAAUGUGUUUUGAAUUUUCUCUAAAUUAAGAUAAUCAUAAAAGGUUAAGAUAUUUAGACAGAGUUCCACCUGAUCCCAGGGCUUGGUUUGUAUGCUUAAUUAGUUCCCGAACAUAUGGUUCAGAGCUUCUUAUAAAAACAGGGUAAUGACUUGAGGUAUAUUUUGGUAUUAGAUGGAACGAUGUUAAAGGGACAUUCAGACCCAUCUCAAAGGCCUUGACCUGCCCUUGAUCUGUGCUGGAAGCUUUUGCUGACAUCUGUUUCAAAGAGAUAUCAAAAAACUUUGCAGUGGCCUCAUGAUAAAACAAAAAUCCAUACGGAGAUAGAUAUCAGGCAUUAAAAUGCUUAGGAUUCAGCAUCGCCCGAGGAAUGUGUGGCCCCAGAACAUCACAGUGGGGGGUUUGUUGAGAGGGGCUCACGCGAAGACGUCGGCGGCCGUGGCUCUGAGCACUGCUGAGAGCACGAGGCCUUGGCUCGAUAUGGAGAGGGAGCAGCUGGGUCACAAAUGUCCCCAGGGCCCUUUGUUCUCUCGUGUGUUUCAGUCCCUGGUAAUAAAUCAGGUGCUCCUGUGUGCGGAACCAGCAGUUGCUUCCCCAGCUCCCAUGCAACCCCACUCUUCCCCAGCCCCACCCAGGAAGGCGCUUUAGGAGACUCCCCGCCACAGGAGUGAGGCGUCGCACCGACUCAUCCGCAGUCAUCCUCGUAUAUGUGUGUAUAUAUUACAUAUAUAAUCUUAUAUAUGUAUAUGCUCUGCAUAACACGGCUUCCAGACAGGCCCCUCCCCGACUUCCAGUUGGAUUUCUGCCACUAAGCCCUUCCCACAUAGGUGUUCUGGGUUCAUUCCAUCUGUGAAAACUUGGGCCAUGGAUGGGAAAUGUUCCCAUUAGACAGAGUCACCUAGGGCCGUAAAACAGGCCCCAGAGGGCAUUGGGUGCAUCUCUUUGGCUUCGGUGUACCAACAUUCCACCCACAUUCCUUCAUUCAUCUGUCUGGUCACGCAUCCUUUUAACCAGGACUCAUGGGGCACCUAUGGUGAGGCGGGGCAUGAGGUGCUAGGAAAAAACAGAGCUGAUUUAAGUAUAGUCCUGCCCUCCAGGAGCUCACGAUCUAAGGAGAGAAGGCAGACAUGGGGGGACAAGCAUUAAGUGAGGCCAGCCCCGGUGUCUGAGAGGGUGUGAGCACACGAUAUGGGAAGCAGAAGAGGAGGAGAUCAUUUCGGGCAGGCGGGAGAGAGCAGCUUCACAGAGGACAUGGAGGUUGCCCUGGGUUCUGAAUGAUGUGCCCGUUUGGACAAUGGGGAUGGAGGGUGACAAGGCAAUCCAGGUGGGGGGAAUGGCAGGAACAAAGGCCCAGAGAAAGGAAACCACUCCAUGGUUUCAAAAACGUGGUCCAAAAACAGCGAGUCACUUUCCAGCUUGCAAACAGCAUACACAUCCCCACUCCUCUGAUCUUCAAGCAUCCUUGUGAAGCUAGUAAGGCAGGUAUAAUUAGUUCCACUUUAUACGUAAGAAAACCAAGGUGCGUAGAGGUUGUAUGAUUUUUCCAAAGGUUUCAGAGCUCGGAUGCAGUGGAACCCAGAUUCAAACUCAAGCUCAAGCUUCCCAGAUCUACAUAAGGCUGAAAAGUUAAGAAAAGGUCAGACUACCAAGGGUCUUAAAUGCUGAGGAGGUUGCCAUCUCCUCUGCAGCCUCUGGGAGCCACUGAGGACUCUGAGCAGGGCUGGAAGAUCCCCUGGGCAGCUGUGAGCAGAAGAAGCCAGAGCAGAAAGAAGCUGGAAGCAGGAAGAUGAAGCAAGAAGCUGUGGCAGUCCCUCAGAGGUCAUUAGACCCAACCUGGGCCGCGGGCCAGAGGAGGAAGGAGAACACGGAUGCAAGAAGGGGAAGUUAGACUGCUCCCAUGCAGAGGGCAGGGAAGACGCUGCCUCUGCAGCUCUGCUUCCAAGGGGCUGGCUCCGUCUCCUCCCAAAGUCGGCUGGGCCCUGAGCAUCAAUGGCAGCUACAGUUUAGAGUGCUUACAAUGAGCAGGGCACUUUGGCAUGUAUUUCCUCAUUUAAAUCCUCAUGACAACCCUGUGAAGCGGCUUGCUCAUUUUACAGAUGAGCAAACUGAGGCACACAGUGAAGGAACUUGGCCAUGGUUGCCCAGGGAGGAAACGGCUUAGACUGGAAUGUGAACAGGUCCUCCCACCCCAAGCCUGAAUGCCUGAUCACUACCUACAACCUCCCCAUUAGGUCUUACAGGCCACUCCGAUGGCCAGGCAUGGGGUGGCUCCUGUCACCCAUCAGAGGGCAUCUGCCUAGCUGCCCUUGGCCUACAAAAGCCUCCCCAAUCUGGCCCAAAGUUACCUCCUUCCUUUGUUCCCUCCCCCUGGGUCCCGAGGGAUCCUGCUGCCACAGCCCAGCAGGCAGGAGGCCAGAUCCAGGCUGAGAUACAGAGAGAGAGUCUCUGUGAGCCGAGACCCAGCCUGGGGCGUCACAGCAGGAGACGUCAAAGCUGGGCCAAGCUCAGUGGGACGGAGAUCAAAGCCAGCAGGGGGUGGCAGAGCAACAAGGAACAGAAAGGAGCAGGGGUGAGGCCGGUCCCAUAUCAUUCCUGUGGCUGCACGGAUGGGCUGGGGCCUCUUUGAAGGUCUGAGACAUCUGCAACCCUGGGUGCCAGACAGAAGGCCUCCUCUCCUCCCUGGUCCCCUUGUGGGGGGCUGGGGGCCCGUGGCGGUCGAGAAGUUGUCUUGAGCACAUCAGACCAUGGGAGCAGGGACCUGCUUUUCUUGCAUGUCACUGUCCCCAGCCCCAAGCACAGGGCCUGGCACACAGGUGCUGUUCAAAGUCAGUUCUAGCUGCAGUCCUGCCAUUUGGGCAGCUUCUGGCCACCAUGAGAGAAUCGGUGUCACCAUGUCCAGCUGAUGUCAUUCCAGAUCACUACAAAGGAAUGUGGAGUGUCCAUCAGCCCAACUGACCUUGUUUGGAGUAACUACACCAUUUCAUGAGACUCAGAAAUUGCAAAAAUGCUCAGGAAUCCACAGAAGAAUCUCAGCCAGGCCCGGAGCCCCGGGAUCCCUGGACUGUGUAUUUCACUCUUGCCAGGGGUGCUGGUGCCAGAGGUCAGCGAGCUUUCACCUCCAUCCCUCCUCACUGCAGGCCGCUUCAGAGCCCCUCAGCCCAGCCGCAGUGCUGAGGCCGAGGAGGGAGGAAGAAGAGGACAGCUCCUGGGAGAGGCCACUCGGUGUCUGGCCCUCCAAAUGCAUGGAGUACAGAAACUUGGCUGGGCGCAGAAGCACCUCGUGACUGUGCAAAGCAAGUCCAGAUGGCAUGAGAUACACCACCACUGAUGCCAAGAAAUCCUGGGUGUGCCCCUUGGGGUGUCCCCUCCGAGGGCAGCCACAGCCCGGGCAUGGUGCACUCCUGACCAGUGGCCAAAGGCGCACAGAACCAGCAGCCUGCAAAGAAAAUUUGGUGAAUGCGGUUAGAUCAUGUCAACUUUAAUGUGCUUCCAGAGUAUUAACAACAACUCUGCAAGGUACCAAGGUACCAAGGUACCGUGUGACUCUUCAAAAGCUUCCCACAGGCCAUGUGUCCUUUAAGCCUCAUUCGAGAGAAAGACAGAACAGAUACCAUGGGUAUUGCAAAAGAUACUGUGACAAAUCUGAGGUCCAGCAAGAUGGCGGUGGAGAUGCGAGGACUUGAGCCUAGUUACUCACACCAGGCCUCAUCCAGAGGAUGCACACAGGGACUGUGUACCAUGAAGAGGCUGUCCGGAACUUAGGAGCAGGGUCAGCCCACACAGUGGGGCAGAUUGUGCACUGCAUCAGGGCAUCCCUACCAAAGGGGUCCCAAUCACAUCUUGGACAUGGUAGAUCUGCAUGUUUAUUCCAUUUCUCUGGAUUGCAAUAAAGUGUCUAUUCUAAUAAAAUCAGUAUAAUACUUUCCCAACUGACAGAAGUAACAUGUCUUGGGAAAGGGUCCUCUUUUUCUAACCUGCACAGAGGUCCUGCAUGACUGGCAGCAACCCUGAUAGAAGCCACCCAUAUCUGGGAAGGCUGUACUUUUCUGGAAAGAAGCCAAAAGGAAGAGUGGUCGUCUUGCUACUCCCCCAGAAAUUCAGCUGCCCUAAUGGCAGAGGAAUCUGGGAAAGGGAGCAUGCAGGAUAUGUCUGUCUACAAAUCAACAAGACAAAAGACAAACAGUCUCAGAGGAAAAUGGGCAAAGGGCUUAUCCACUGACUCACAGAGGAGAAAAAGGCAGGGAACGCGUGAAGGUUGGUUGUGGCCACUUGUCAUUGUUCAUCCUGCACAGCACCCCAACUCCGUUCCUCCUGACCCUAGCUGACCUUCCAGGACACAGCAGCCUUUCACCGUUGCAAGUUGUCAUGGAGGGAGGCAGGUCCCCCGUCCCACAAUGGAAGCCCAAGGGGGCAAUUCCUCCCUCUCCACACCCUGGGGUCUUGGAGACCAGGCACAGGAACAUACUUGGCAUUUGGAUUUUGGGGUAUGUGACAGAUCCCAUGUAUGCAGUCCUCAGCUUCACGUUGUCAAAGGGAACAUAAAUCAACAAAGAGACGCGUUUUGCACCCAUCAGACUAACAUAAGUUGAAAUAAUUGAUGAUAUCCUUGGCAGUGAGGCUGCAGGGAAACAUGCUCUUGUGCACUGAUGGUGAAAAUGUAAGUUGCACAGGUUCCUUGGAGGAGGAGUGGCAGUAUUUACGACAAAGCACCUGCUCUCCCACUCAGUGCUCUCACUUCUAGUAAUCCACUCUGGAGAAAUUGUCACGCAUGUGCACAAAGAUAUAUAGACAAAAAUAUUCAUUGUAAUAAUGAAAAAUUAGAGAUGAACUCAAUAUCCAGAAGUAGGAGGAAGGAGAACAGGCAGGCAGGGGUGAGGAAGACUGGACCGUGCUCUAUGCACUAACGUGAAAAUCUUCAGAGACACAUCUACCAACGACAGCUGACAAGUUUACCCUCCUAUAAGCACAAACACAAACGAAGAUUGUACUUCUGAUUGUACCCACAAUGCAAACACGUGGGGAAAGGUCUGAAUAGACACUCUACAGAUGGUUAACAGUAGUUGCUGCCAGGAAGAGAAGUGGAAUUUCGCUGUAUUUAUUCAGACUUUCACAAAUGAGUCUCCCUCUGUCUAUCCUUAUGUUCCUGGAGAGCCAUGUGGUUAGGCUCAUGGACUCUUGGGUUGAGCUGCCUUGAGUUCAAAUCCUGAUCUUACUGUUUUCUUAAAUGUCUGACUUUGGGCUCCUGAUCUGAGCGUUAAUUUUCUUUUCUGUUCUUUUCUUUUGAGGAAUAUUAGCCCUGAACUAACUACUGCCAAUCCUCCUCUUUUUGCUGAGGAAGCCUGGCCCUGAGUUAACAUCUGUGCCCAUCUUCCUCUACUUUAUAUGUGGGACUCCUGCCACAGCAUGGUUUGCCAAGCAGUGCCAUGUCCGCACCCGGGAUCCGAACCGGCAAACCCCAGGCCACCGAGAAGCGAAACGUGCAAGCUUAACAUCUGCGUCACUGGCCCGGCCCCAGCAUUAAUUUUCUUAACUGAGGAAAUCCAUAUAAUGUGCUUAGCACAAUGCCUAGCAUAUGAGAGUGGCUCUAUAAGCAUCUUAUUAUCUUGGCAUCUCUGCUGUCUCCCAGCCCCCAACCCUUUCAAAGCCACAGUAGAUGCUAAUAAAUGUUUGAUGAAUGAAUAAGCUUGCUGAUGGUAAGACUAUCUCCCUGAGGUCUAAAAAUGUGGAAAAGAAUAUGCUUAAAGAGGCCGAAUCUUACUAGUCUCACUUUUCCUCCGACUUAGUGUUUUUCACACUGUAGGUUAUAAUCAAUUAGGGGGUCAUACAUCAAUCUAGUGGGUAGCAAUCGACAUUUAAAAAAUACAGAAUAGAAAAUAUCAAAAUGUAAGUAAGAACAAGUAUUGUUUCCUGAAACUCGUUUUGUGGAUGUGUGUACUUGGUUGCAAUGUAAAUUGUAUUUUUUAAUGUUAAUCAUAGUAAAAAUUACAUGAGGAAACCCUGCUUCCAGCAGCCUUCCUUAGUUCAGUCUAGUCUAGUUCAGUGCUAAAGGUCAUGGGCCAGGGAGAGGCGGAGGUUCCCACAGCAGUCUCCUGAGCCUGGAUGGUGCAUGAAGGUGACCGGUGCCCCCAUGGCAGCUUUCUCCCUCCCUCGCUUCAUCAAAAUGGCGCUGACACACGGGGGAGCAGAAACCUCAGGCCCUGCAUGAAUUUCCUAGGGCUACCGUAACAAAGGACCACAAACUGGGUGGCUUGAAACAAGAAGAAUGUAUUCCCUCGCUGUUUAGGAGGCUAGAAGUCCUAGACUGUGGUGUCGUCGGUGGUGGGGAGGGGGAGGUCCCUUUGGAGGCCCCGAGGGAGCAUCUGCUCCAACCUCUCUCCCGCUGCUGUUGGGCGCCUAAAAUCCUUGGCCUUCCUUGGCUCAGAAAGCUGUAACUCCAAUCUUUGCCUCCGUCUUCGCAUUGCAUUCUCCUCCCUCUGUCUCUGUGUGUCUCUAUUUCCAAAUUUCCUUCUUAUAGGGACACCAGUCAUUGGAUUAGGGGCACUCUAACCCAGUAUGAAUUUAACUUGAAUAUAUCUCCACAGACCCUAUUUCCAAGUAAGGCCACAUUCACAGGUUCUGGCAGACAUGAACUUGGGGUGGGGAUGGGGAAUGCUAGUCAACCCAGUAUCUCCAGCCCCAGACAGAGGAAGGAACCACAUGUACCCUUUUAACCAUCACGUCUCUGUUCCUCUAUCCCCCACCAGCCCUAAGCAAUCGUUAAUCUACUCUCUAUCUUUAUAGAUUUGCCUGUUCUAGACAUUUCAUAUAAAUGAAAUGGUAUAAUAUGUGGCCUUUUGUGUCUGGCUUAUUUUUUUUUUUUAAGGAAGAGGUUUUAAAGAUUUUAUUUUUUUCUUCCUUUUUCUCCCCAAAGCCCCCCAGUACAUAGUUGUAUAUUCUUUGUUGUGGUCCUUCUGGUUGUGGCAUGAGGGACGCUGCCUCAGCGUGGUUUGAUGAGCAGUGCCAUGUCCGCGCCCAGGAUUCAAACCAACGAAACACUGGGCCGCCUGCAGCGGAGUGCAUGAACUUAACCACUCAGCCACGGGGCCAGCCCCUGUGUCUGGAUUCUUUCACUUUGCAUAAUGUCCCCCAGGUUCAGCCACGUGGUGGCACAUAUCAGUCCUGCGUUUCUUUGUAGGAGUGAUAAUUUUCCAUUGUAUGGAUAUACCACAUUUUGUUUAUCCAUUCAUCAGUUUGGGAGAUGAGGUUUUCUCUAUCUUAUAUGCCAGUCCCUGUUCUUUUUUUUUUUAAGGAAGAUUAGCCCUGAGCUAACUACUGCCAAUCCUCCUCUUUUUGCUGAGGAAGACUGGCCCUGAGCUAACAUCCCUGCCCAUCUCCCUCUACUGUAUAUGAGGGACACCUACCACAGUUUGGCUUUUGCCAUGCUGUGCCAUGUCCGCACCCGGGAUCCGAACUGGCAAACCCCAGGCUGCUGAGAAGCGGAACAUGUGGACUUAACCACCGCACCACCAGGCCGGCCCUACCAGUCCCUGCUCUCAGUGCAUUAGCUCCUUUAACCCUCACAACCAGUUACGAGGUAGGUGUUAUCAUUAUCCCUAUUUUACAGAGAGUGGAGCACAGAGAGAUGAUCUAACCCCCGCCAAGGUCAUGUAGCUGGUGAAUAUCUGCUUGGUCCCCAAGUUUGUGUGUGACUCCCAGUGCCACAUGAUCCCUCUUUUCAUUAGUGUCUUCAGGGGCAAUUCAUACAUACCUCAGCUGGCCCGUUUAUCCCUAAGUAGAAUCCAAGAUGGCGCACCAAGAGCCUCCAUCCCAUUCCCCACCUUCCCUCUCCUCACCUGCACCCCACCCAAGGGGUUGGUCAACAAACCCCUUCAAGGGGCAUCAUUUGGGCCUGUAAAAUCCUCAUUAUUUGGGACCUCACUAAUUCAGUAUUUGUGAUCUUUUCAAGAGGCUGUGCUGGCCUACAGGAUGUUUCAGUUAGCAACAUUUUCUUCCCUAUGCCUUACAAAUUCUUGGUGUAAAAAAGAUUGCAGAAGGCAUGUUUAAACAAAGUGUUUUCAAGCCUCCUCAAAAAUCACAGAAACCCCCAGGAGCAACCCCACAGCUGAGAUGCAAGUGACACAGAACUCUUAUCCGUUCCACCAGCAGGUGCCCUAGAGACCCAGCAGGUACCUUGCUAAACGAGAUGGUGACAGGACUCGCAGGACUCAGCGUACCGUGACUGCCCCCCGCCAAGAUGUGCUGUGUUUCCGACUAGCUCUCUGAUUCUCCAAACCAGCCCUGGUCCUCAGCUUUCCUGUGGAGAGGCCGCUUCUGUGGAAAGGGCUUGUUUCAGCCCAUCGGACACUGAGAAGAUCAAGGUGGCGAGCCUCGGAAUCCUCUGGGGCACCCCAGGCUGAGAAACGUUGAAGACCAGAGGCUAGGAAGCCACCAGCAGGAAAGGGGCUCUGGAGGGGACUUCUGAACUUGGAGACUCCUUCUUCCUUUCACAAAACCCUGUUAUUCCUCCCAAGGAGAAAUCACGCCUAGCUGAAAAGUCUGAGGACAGGGUGACAGCUGGCAGCCGCUGUGGAGGCAAGCAGUCCAUACCUUCAGCCUAUUGAGUCCUGGUUGCCUUUGAUGUAGGCAUUUCCUGUGGUCCAGCAAGUGAGAGCAAGGUGGGAAAGGCUGGCAUGGGGAGUGUCUGCUGACCCUAGCAUUUCCAAAGCGAAACCUUCCAGUUGCUUCUAGAAUCUAGGCCCUGCAUUGUAACAUGUUGUGGGUGCAGGCUGCCCCACUCGAUCCCCAUUUAGGAAUAAACUAUUUUAAAGUAACAAAGAGAUUUCACUCUUCUGCAGCCGUCCAAGGGACACCAUUUAUCCUGUCUGCAGAGCAGCGUCAGUGACAGGCUAUGGGGGUGGGAGGCAGGGGUGAGAGCAGAGGCCCAGCACAAUACAGAAGUCCCUGACUCACUGUUCCUGGGCCUCCCCAGCCCCACGGGUGUGGAUGCAAAGAAUCCUGGGCAGGGAAGCCAGAGAAGAGCUGCUGGGAACUGACUUCCUAACUGCCUUUAUAGCUGACGUCCCCUCUCUGGGUCCCUGUUCCUUGCUCCCACAAAAUCAAACAUUCGACUGGAAGGGACUGCAAGCAGCUUUCAACGCAUACCCUAAUUCUGAUCCAUUCGUAGAAGCUGCCUGCAGAGCCAUGUUGAGGGUUUUGAGGGCUGGCAGGAGGGAGAGAGCUGGGAUGCAUUAGCAAUGUCUGCUAUGAGGAUGGGAAGGAGAGCAGUGGCCCUUUCCCUUGCUAUAUAUUUACCACUCCUGCCGUUGAUAUCCGACGUCUUCUUUGCCCCAGAUCUUGUAGGAUUUUAUGAUUCCUCUUGCCUGUGCUGUUUGCUUGACCUUCCUCAAGGAGCUAUUUCAGGGGCUGUUCCCACCCACCAGGAACUGACAGUGGCCUGCAGAUGUUUGCUUGUAGGGCUGGGCCAUGCGAGUUAGUGAUAACCAAGGCCAGAGUUAGUGAUAACCAAGGCCAGAGGUGGCCGGCUCUCCUUGAGACCGGAAAUAAGCUGAAAAGUGAGUCUUUCUCUGUCAACGCUAUCCUGAGACCCACAGGGCAUGAAGCACAGCCAAGGCGGAUCACCCCUUCCAAGAUGACCCACUCAGACAAACGCAGGAUGCGGCCUCUAUCCACAUGGUUUAGGCACAGAGGACUGAGAAAGCCAAAGACCACAUGAAAAAAGGGAAAAGAAUUUUGAGCAGAGGCCUCUGGGGAGUGGGGUGGUCUCCCUGUGGGUAAAGCGGAGACGGUAACAGUGCCUCCUCUGAGAGGGGUCCCUGUGACAGUGCAAGGGGAUGAUGCAUGCAAAGUGCUCAGCACAGAGCCCGACACCAGUACUCAUCCCUAAUAAAAGCGAUCCGGUGGCCAUGGCACUAUUCUCUAGGAUCACUCUUUGGUGGCAUUGGGCCUACAGAUGUUAAGUCUCCU